GUUGGGGCAUCAGUGGUAGUUAUCAUCGAGGCAAUUGGGGCGUCAGUGGUAGUUAUCAGCAUAACAAUGGCAGAUCGAGUGUGGGCAUCAGUGGUAGUUAUCAGCGUAACAAUGGCAGAUCGAUUGUGGGCAUCAGUGGCGGAUUGGGGAGGAACAAUGGCCGACCGAAUUAUCGAAAGAAAUUUGACCCACAGGUGAACUACUUAGGAGGAAGUAAAGGUCCACGUCAGAACGGCCUACCUUACAACAUUCGGAAGAAAUAAAGGUCAACGCUCCAAUGAUAUGGGGAAUGUAAAGAAGAAAGUGUCUUAAUUUGUUAAGCUUUAGUAAGAAACAUAGCACAGACUCGAUUUUGUAACAAUACUUAAUAAUUCUAAUGAUAAAGAAAUGGCAAAAGAAGCAAAGAAAGGAUUAUAAAGGAGCAAAGUUC
Molecule: non-coding RNA, 430 nt
Organism: Pocillopora verrucosa
Lineage: Eukaryota; Metazoa; Cnidaria; Anthozoa; Scleractinia; Pocilloporidae
Source: RefSeq, a predicted model, not a curated record